RNAcentral lists this non-coding RNA (27 nucleotides) under Rattus norvegicus (Norway rat). The record is from RNAcentral. Lineage: Eukaryota; Metazoa; Chordata; Mammalia; Rodentia; Muridae.
GGCCACCUACAUCUUUUGGCUCCUAGC